This 290-nucleotide unclassified non-coding RNA is filed under the name fungal sp. RNAcentral's name for it is "partial internal transcribed spacer region". The stretch from base 1 to 45 matches the Rfam family "Eukaryotic small subunit ribosomal RNA", at positions 1787 to 1831 of the family's 1831-position model. Lineage: Eukaryota; Fungi. The record is from RNAcentral.
AGUCGUAACAAGGUUUCCAUAGGUGAACCUGUGGAAGGAUUAUUAAAGAUGAACCUCCACAAGAGGUGUUUUCGUUCUGAUCUGAGAAAGGAACCAUGUUGCAACCCUUACCCGUACUGUGGUAGGCUUCGGGGACCACGUUUUUACUUGAACACAGAAGUCGCACAUGAUGCGUUCGCCUAGUGGUGGCCUGCCCCUUUCAACAAACACCAUUCUACCUGACUGAACUUUUUUACGAACACACAAGAUAAAUCGAAAUACAACUUUCAGCAACGGAUCUCUUGGUUCUC